This 217-nucleotide long non-coding RNA is filed under the name Hordeum vulgare. RNAcentral describes it as "long non-coding RNA (HVUL_LNC019284)". Lineage: Eukaryota; Viridiplantae; Streptophyta; Magnoliopsida; Poales; Poaceae. The record is from RNAcentral.
AGGGGAUUAGGCUGGGUCGGGAAGGUGAGAUUAUUUCGGGAAAGAGAAACUGGCUAGGAGUUAUGGGGGCGAUAAAAUAGGCUUCUUGGCGGGUUGGGAGACUGAUUUUUGGGGAAUCUCAACCAUGAGAUGAAAAAGCAUGAACGUCGUGUAACGACUCUCACGAAAGCAUCCUACGAGACUACUGACGGCAAGUGUUUAAAGAAGAAGAUUAUAA